Non-coding RNA from Kogia breviceps (pygmy sperm whale), 686 nucleotides. Lineage: Eukaryota; Metazoa; Chordata; Mammalia; Artiodactyla; Physeteridae. The record is from RefSeq and is a predicted model, not a curated record.
GCCGACUUGUGCCCGGAGAACUGCUUUACACACUUCCGUCUCUGGACGUAGCCCGUACCCUACAAGAACUCGGCAGCUCCUGCCAGAAGCAUGAAGGGAUUUUUCUCCAGUAUUUACUGUGAGGACCUGAUGAACUCCUGGAGGUAAAACCCACAAAAGUGUGAGUCGGUCCCUCUGGAGUUUAUAACUUUUCAGACUUGGCUGCACCGAGCCUCCAGUGAUUUGUCAAUUACAGUUCAAGUUUCCCUACCCCAGCACCGGUUCCUGUAAGGUUUUCAGCUCAUGAGUUUCUACUAUGCCUUAAAAAAGCAUUGUCAUCCACUAUGAUUCAGAUUAAACCUAUUAACUCUGGCCUCUAUCCUACUAUUCUACUGACAUUACAGGUAAGUCCUCAGAGAACUCUUGAUUGCAUAACAUUUUCAGGCCUCAUAGUCUGAUCCUAAUCACUGUGUGACACUGACACUUCCACCCUCUUGCAAGUAUCUGCUUUCAUGCUUUUCUGAUAUCCAUUAAUACUUGUUCUCAUGCUUUUGAUUUCUCCUUUUCAAUUGCUUUUCCUGGCUCUGUUAAUUCAAUAUUGGUGCACUUCUUGUUACCAGCAAUCUUCUCAUUAGCUACCCUUGGGUAAGCUCUUCUACUUAAAUGGCUUCCAGAACUGCCUGAUCUUUAGCUCCAAGCCUGCACAC